RNAcentral lists this ribosomal RNA (285 nucleotides) under uncultured bacterium. RNAcentral's name for it is "partial 16S ribosomal RNA". It matches the Rfam family "Bacterial small subunit ribosomal RNA", at positions 524 to 807 of the family's 1533-position model. The record is from RNAcentral.
UACGAAGGGUGCAAGCGUUGCUCGGAAUUAUUGGGCGUAAAGGGUAGGUAGGUGGUUACGUAUGUCUGGGGUGAAAUCCCUGAGCUCAACUCAGGAAGUGCCUUGGAAACGGCGUAACUAGAGUACUAGAGAGGUUCGUGGAAUUCCCGGUGUAGCGGUGAAAUGCGUAGAGAUCGGGAGGAACAUCAGAGGCGAAGGCGGCGAACUGGAUAGUAACUGACACUGAACUACGAAAGCGUGGGUAGCAAACAGGAUUAGAAACCCGUGUAGCUCGACGCAAGCAAC